RNAcentral lists this ribosomal RNA (427 nucleotides) under uncultured bacterium. Its description in RNAcentral is "bacterial SSU rRNA". It matches the Rfam family "Bacterial small subunit ribosomal RNA", at positions 355 to 774 of the family's 1533-position model. The record is from RNAcentral.
UGGGGAAUAUUGGACAAUGGGGGGAACCCUGAUCCAGCCAUGCCGCGUGUGUGAAGAAGGUCUUCGGAUUGUAAAGCACUUUAAGUUGGGAAGAAGGAGCGUUGGUUAAUACCUGACGUUUUUGACAUAACCGACAGAAUAAGCACCGGCUAACUUCGUGCCAGCAGCCGCGGUAAUACGAAGGGUGCGAGCGUUAAUCGGAAUUACUGGGCGUAAAGCGCGCGUAGGUGGUUCUUUAAGUUGGAUGUGAAAUCCCCGGGCUCAACCUGGGAACUGCAUCCAAAACUGGGGGGCUAGAGUACGGUAGAGGGUAGUGGAAUUUCCUGUGUAGCGGUGAAAUGCGUAGAUAUAGGAAGGAACACCAGUGGCGAAGGCGACUACCUGGACUGAUACUGACACUGAGGUGCGAAAGCGUGGGGAGCAAACA